ACGUGCGCCACUAUGCCUGGCCAGACUCAUUUUUUAAGUGCUCAGUAGCCACGUGUUGCUAUUGGUUAUCUUAUUGGAUAGCACCAUUCCUAAGGCCUUCAAGAAUUUGGGCUGCUAAACUUAACAAUGCAAGAUAUUCCUUUUUAAAAUAGUAGUGGCUUAGUGAUAGAAACAGAACUAAGUGUAUAUUUUUACAAUAUAAUGUGUUGGGUAAAGAAUAUUUAAUAGUCACUAUAUUGUAAGUUGAAAAUAAAGCUACAGAAAAGGAACCUAACCUUGCCCGCAGAUUUUUAACAAGGAAAUCUAAACAUUUGCAUAAAGCAUAAUAGACUUUAAAAAUUAUGAUAAAGAUGUUAUCACAGGACUUAUUUGUUUCUUUAUACUUACUAGUCACUAUUCUUGCUUCCUGAAGAUGGAUGGUUAUACCUUCAGCAAUGUACUUAAAUCCUUCUAACAUCUUAUGUGAAGUUAUAGUUCUCAUCUAGAACUAACUGAAAAAGAAAGCAAAGCUUCUUGAAAAUAAACUCCUUUUUUGUGUGCUAAAAUAUUGUUUUAAUACUUCAAAAGAAACGAAAGCUUCUAUGAGAAGAAUGUUGACCUGUGUCCAGACCAAACAAGGUGAAGAAGUCUUAUUUUAACAUUUGAGAAGUAUCAGUUGGGCAUCAGAUAACAUUCCUGAAAGGGAUUGAAAACAAUGCAGUAGACUACAAAAGAAGCUGCACAUCCUUAGGAAGAAAAUAAACCGUUUGUCAUGGAUGGCUUGUCCACAUGCGCAAAGUAGAGAGCAACCUAAGAUGGCGCCAUCCAGUUCCAGAGUCAAGCAAGCUGUCAUGUUAUAAGCAGCCCUUUGAGGGGUCCAUGUGAUGUCAAGGAAUGAAGUCUCCAGCCAGCAUUUAAUGAGAAACUGAGGCCCACCAACAAUCUUGAGUGAACCUGGAAGUAGCUCCUUCAGCAUCAGUUGGUUGUUGAGAUGACUACUGGCAGGUUAACUGCAACUUCAUGGGAGUCUUCUGGACCAGAACCACUCAGUUAAGUGACUCCCAGAUUCCUGAUCCUCAGAAACUCUGAGAAAUAAUGAAUAUUUGUUGUUUUAAAAUGUUAAAUUUUGAGGUAUUGUAUUAUGUGGCAAUAGAUAACUAAUAUAUAAAUUAUUUUAAUCAAACAAUAUGUUAAAUUAAAGCUCAGAAGAAUAAACAUCUGUAAUUCCUU
This is a long non-coding RNA of Cercocebus atys (sooty mangabey), 1209 nucleotides long. RefSeq lists it as uncharacterized. The transcript is spliced from 2 exons. The record is from RefSeq and is a predicted model, not a curated record. Lineage: Eukaryota; Metazoa; Chordata; Mammalia; Primates; Cercopithecidae.